CCUACGGGAGGCAGCAGUGAGGAAUAUUGGUCAAUGGGCGCGAGCCUGAACCAGCCAAGUCGCGUGAGGGAAGACGGUCCUAUGGAUUGUAAACCUCUUUUGUCGGGGAGCAAAAGACGCCACGCGUGGCUUUCCGAGAGUACACGAAGAAAAAGCAUCGGCUAACUCCGUGCCAGCAGCCGCGGUAAUACGGAGGAUGCGAGCGUUAUCCGGAUUUAUUGGGUUUAAAGGGUGCGCAGGUGGGAGAUAAAGUCAGCGGUAAAAUUUAGAGGCUCAACCUCUUAGAGCCAUUUAAUCUUGUUUUAUUGAGUGAGUGUGAAGUAUGCGGAAUGCGUGGUGUAGCGGUGAAAUGCAUAGAAAUCAAGCAGAAAUCCGGUUGCGAAAGCAGCAUACCGGCGCUC
Molecule: ribosomal RNA, 401 nt
Filed under: uncultured bacterium
Lineage: Bacteria
Description: partial 16S ribosomal RNA
Rfam family: Bacterial small subunit ribosomal RNA
Source: RNAcentral